UAAUUAACAAAAACACGCCUUCGUCCUUGUCCAAUCUUAUAUAUGAGCCCUAGAUGCCAUGGUACUACCCAUUGCAAAUUCUGUGUGCACUGGAAGAAAGCAUUAAUCAUGUCGCCACCUACCGUGAAUCUACAGACGAAACCAGAGGAUACAGAAAGAACAACCUCUAAACGUUCCACACAUCGUGUGUGUAUAAUAUCAACAUGUGUAGUUGUGGCACUUCUUAUUAUUGCUGCUACUACAUUUGGUGCCGUCGCAUACAAUCACCAUCUUUUUAGUAAAGAGGAAUACAAAUCCACGGCCAUAACGGAUGGGUACACUGUACCCGAACAUAUUCAUGUUGAUUACGACAAGGAGUUGAUUUAUGUCAGCAAUAAACAGAUUGGACCAAUAGAUGCUCUGAAUGCUCUUCACAACUAUGACCGAAAACUUCUGGCUUUUUAUGAUUUGACAACUAACCGAUGUUACAUUGAUCGCCUUGAUCAUACGUUUGAUGAAGGUCUAAAAUUUUGGUCAUCUCAUACCGGCAAGGACAGAUAUCCGCCGAAAGUUCGUUUUGACUACACACCAGAACCAAUCAACCUAGACGUUCUGAGAAAAUUUGCUGGUGCUGAAAUCGCCGAUCAUUGUAGAAAUGUGACGUCACACUGGAUGCUUAAUAUUCGACCGUACAAUACAGGGAACAGACAAAGGCGUGCAGUAAGACUCGAGGCACAGGUUUGCUGUGAAAAUUAUUAUUGUGGAAGUCAGCAAGUCGCGAUGAUUUAGAUUUAAAGCUACCGCCUUUUCUCUGCACUGUUACAAUGCGAUUACUUCUGGUAGUAAUUAUGUAUAUCUUUUCCCAGCAUAGAAAAAGUAUGAAUUUAUAUAAUUGUAGUUCCCAGAAGCCUUUGCCCCCGCCAGCAAUAUCAAUUCACCACUCCCGUUUUAUUGAAUUUUGAUAGAAAUCUUUGACAGAAUAUCUGAUUUACCAUUUUAUUGAAUAUUUUAAUGAUAAUAAAUACAAUUAAUUGUUAAUUCAGAAAUCCUGACUUUAUUUUUUGAUGUAUGAAAACGUAAGUGAUAUAUUUAUACCUCAAGCCCCUUUGAUCAACAAGAAAAAAAUUGUUACCUUGUCACCUACAAGUGUGGAAUAGAAAUAACGAAACUAUAAGGUGUUCAUCGUCAGGGACUGGUCUUAGAAUUUUCGAGGCACGCUGGUGGCUUAAUACCAGUAGUUAAAGGUGCAUUAUGUAAGAUUUAGGUAACGGGCAGGUCGUUCUUGCUUUAAUAGUUUAAAAAUAGAUCAUGGGAAAUUUAUUUUGAAAUUUUCAUUCAAAUUACUUUAUUCUGAACGAAGGUAUGAGUGUUUUAUAGAUAGUAUCAAGUUCCAUUGCUGCGAUAAUAAACAAAGUUUCAAUUUGAGCUUGUGCCGUACGCCCUUUAAACGGCCAGGUCAGUGAGGUAUUAUACUAUAGGUUCUAAUAUCCAUCUACAUUGUAAAGAUUGUCUUGUCAUAUCAUUCAGUAUCGUUCAGCUCUUUAAUUUACAUGUAUUAAACUUAUAUUAUAACA
This is a long non-coding RNA of Patella vulgata (common limpet), 1553 nucleotides long. RefSeq lists it as uncharacterized. NCBI's taxonomy places the organism in Eukaryota, Metazoa, Mollusca, Gastropoda, Patellidae. The record is from RefSeq and is a predicted model, not a curated record. The transcript has 6 exons.